GCUUAGGGCCACACCACCCUGAAAAAGCCCCAUCUCAGAAGCUAGAGUGUUUCGGACCUGGUUAGUACUUGGAUGGCAUUCUUCCUGGGAAUACUGGUGUUGGGAGUG
RNAcentral lists this ribosomal RNA (108 nucleotides) under Monopterus albus (swamp eel). Lineage: Eukaryota; Metazoa; Chordata; Actinopteri; Synbranchiformes; Synbranchidae. The record is from RNAcentral.